CCUCGAGUUUAUUUUCUUUUCUAUUUUAUUUUCCUCGAUGAUUCUCUUUUUUUUCCGCACUCACCUUGGCUUUUGAAAGUUAUGGGGUUUUACCCCAAACUUAGAAUUUCAACACAGCUUAAUAAUAUCAACUUGACUCUGAACAGGGUAAGGAAGUAUUUUAGGCCAAAGGUUACAUUUAUGUGGUUAGAAAAAAACAAAGCGUACAGGCUCAAAU
This 217-nucleotide long non-coding RNA is filed under the name Lathyrus oleraceus (garden pea). Its description in RNAcentral is "Pisum sativum (pea) long non-coding RNA (PSAT_LNC020117)". The record is from RNAcentral. Lineage: Eukaryota; Viridiplantae; Streptophyta; Magnoliopsida; Fabales; Fabaceae.